UACAGAGACUGCAAGCGUAUUCGGAUUCACUGGGCGUAAAGGGUGCGCAGGCGGUCGGGUGUGUCAGAUGUGAAAUCCCGAGGCUCAACCUCGGAACUGCGUCUGAAACUACUCAACUAGAGUACUGGAGGGGUAACGGAAUUCACGGUGUAGCAGUGAAAUGCGUAGAUAUCGUGAGGAACACCAGAGGCGAAGGCGGUUACCUGGACAGUUACUGACGCUCAGGCACGAAAGCAUGGGGAGCAAAAGGG
Molecule: ribosomal RNA, 251 nt
Filed under: uncultured bacterium
Lineage: Bacteria
Description: partial 16S ribosomal RNA
Rfam family: Bacterial small subunit ribosomal RNA
Source: RNAcentral